RNAcentral lists this ribosomal RNA (754 nucleotides) under uncultured bacterium. RNAcentral's name for it is "bacterial SSU rRNA". It matches the Rfam family "Bacterial small subunit ribosomal RNA", at positions 61 to 807 of the family's 1533-position model. The record is from RNAcentral.
GUCGAACGGGGCCGCGCAAGGGGAGGGGAAGGCUUGCCUGACCCGAACCGGACGCGGCCUAGUGGCGGACGGGUGAGUAACGCGUGGGCAAUCUGCCCCGUACCGGGGGAUAACCCCUGGAAACAGGUGCUAACACCGCAUGACAGGCGGGGGCGCAUGCCCCGGCCUUGAAAACUCCGGUGGUACGGGAUGAGCCCGCGUCCGAUUAGCCAGUUGGCGGGGUAACGGCCCACCAAAGCGACGAUCGGUAGCCGGCCUGAGAGGGUGGACGGCCACAUUGGGACUGAGACACGGCCCAAACUCCUACGGGAGGCAGCAGUGGGGAAUAUUGCACAAUGGGGGAAACCCUGAUGCAGCGACGCCGCGUGAGUGAAGAAGCGCCUCGGCGCGUAAAGCUCUGUCAGCAGGAACGACGAUGACGGUACCUGAAGAAGAAGCCCCGGCUAACUACGUGCCAGCAGCCGCGGUAAUACGUAGGGGGCAAGCGUUAUCCGGAUUUACUGGGUGUAAAGGGAGCGUAGACGGCGGGGCAAGUCUGGAGUGAAAGGCCGGGGCCCAACCCCGGGACCGCUCUGGAAACUGCCCGGCUGGAGUGCGGGAGAGGUAAGCGGAAUUCCUAGUGUAGCGGUGAAAUGCGUAGAUAUUAGGAGGAACACCAGCGGCGAAGGCGGCUUACUGGACCGUGACUGACGUUGAGGCUCGAAAGCGUGNGGAGCAAACAGGAUUAGAUACCCUGGNAGUCCACGCCGUAAAC